CCGCGUGAGUGAUGAAGGCUUCGGGUCGUAAAACUCUGUCAAGUGGGAAGAACCUAUGUAAGGUUAAUACCCUUAUGUAUUGACGGUACCACUGAAGGAAGCACCGGCUAACUCCGUGCCAGCAGCCGCGGUAAUACGGAGGGUGCAAGCGUUAUUCGGAUUUAUUGGGCGUAAAGGGCGCGUAGGCGGUCUUGUAAGUCAGAUGUGAAAGCCCGGGGCUUAACCCCGGAAGGGCAUUUGAUACUGCGAGACUUGAGUAUGGGAGGGGGAAGUGGAAUUCCUGGUGUAGAGGUGAAAUUCGUAGAUAUCAGGGAGGAACACCAGUGGCCGAAGGCGACUUCCUGGACCAAUACUGACGCUGAGGCGCGAAGCGUGGGGACAAACAGGAUUAGAUACCCUGGUAGUCCACGCAGUAAACGGUGAGACUAGGUGUAGCGGGUAUUGACCCUGCUGUGCCGCA
Molecule: ribosomal RNA, 460 nt
Filed under: uncultured bacterium
Lineage: Bacteria
Description: bacterial SSU rRNA
Rfam family: Bacterial small subunit ribosomal RNA
Source: RNAcentral